UUAAGUUCAGCGGGUAUCCCUACCUGAUCCGAGGUCAACCGUGAGAAAUGUAGAGGGUUGUCUGGCAAGCAACCGCCGGGCCUCCAGAGCGAGAGAAGUUACUACGCUUGGAGCCAGACGGGCACCGCCACUGAUUUUAAGGCCCGCCGCAGCGCGGCGAGGCCCAACACCAAGCAGAGCUUGAGGGGGUUGAAAUGACG
Molecule: unclassified non-coding RNA, 200 nt
Filed under: Arthrographis sp.
Lineage: Eukaryota; Fungi; Ascomycota; Dothideomycetes; Eremomycetales; Eremomycetaceae
Description: partial internal transcribed spacer 2
Source: RNAcentral